RNAcentral lists this ribosomal RNA (587 nucleotides) under uncultured delta proteobacterium. Its description in RNAcentral is "bacterial SSU rRNA". It matches the Rfam family "Bacterial small subunit ribosomal RNA", at positions 339 to 916 of the family's 1533-position model. The record is from RNAcentral. Lineage: Bacteria; Deltaproteobacteria.
CUACGGGAGGCAGCAGUGAGGAAUUUUGCGCAAUGGGGGGAACCCUGACGCAGCAACGCCGCGUGAGUGAAGAAGGCCUUUGGGUCGUAAAGCUCUGUCAACAAGGAAGAAAUUGGUUAUGUUUAAUAGAUGUAGCCAUUGACGGUACUUGUGGAGGAAGCGCCGGCUAACUCCGUGCCAGCAGCCGCGGUAACACGGGGGGCGCAAGCGUUAUUCGGAAUUAUUGGGCGUAAAGGGCGCGUAGGCGGUCUUAUCGGUCAGAUGUGAAAGCCCAGGGCUCAACCCUGGACGUGCAUUUGAAACAGUAAGACUUGAGUACGGGAGAGGAAAGCGGAAUUCCUGGUGUAGAGGUGAAAUUCGUAGAUAUCAGGAGGAACACCGAUGGCGAAGGCAGCUUUCUGGACCGAUACUGACGCUGAGGCGCGAAGGCGUGGGUAGCGAACGGGAUUAGAUACCCCGGUAGUCCACGCAGUAAACGAUGUACACUAGGUGUAGCGGAUAUUAAAAUUUGCUGUGCCGCAGCUAACGCAUUAAGUGUACCGCCUGGGGAGUACGGUCGCAAGACUAAAACUCAAAGGAAUUGACGG